Molecule: long non-coding RNA, 483 nt
Filed under: Homo sapiens (human)
Lineage: Eukaryota; Metazoa; Chordata; Mammalia; Primates; Hominidae
Description: HSALNT0359460
Source: RNAcentral
UCUACCUGCCUCAGCCUCCCAAAGUGCUGGGAUUACAGGCGUAAGCCACCGCGCCCGGCCACCUCACAGGUUUUAACGUGCAUCUACAUCACCCUGGGAUCUUGUGUCAAUGCAGGUCCUGAUUCAGUAGGUUCAGGAGGAGCCUGAUUCUGCUCGUCCAAGCUGCCAGGGUCUGAUUUCCUUUGUGUGAGCACUCCGCCACUAGGGGUUCUUUGGCUGGCAAGAGAAACUAGAGAAGUUUUGCUUCCAGGAGGGGAGAGGUGGGCAGACUAUACCCAUGGGGCCCAAACCGGCCUGCGUCUGCACCGUCCCUAGAAAUACGCAGCAGCACUUUUCCUCCCCUCCCUGAGCAAGCCAGGGAGCCCUGUGGCUUCCAGGGCAUUUGCCCUUGUGGUCACCUAAGGCCGAGGCAGCGGCGUACCAACGGGUGGCAGUGGGAGCCCCUCCUUGGUGGGGAGCAGUAUUGUAUCACUGACAUGCCUU